GCGGGCGUCAUCGUAUAAUGGCUAUUAUAGUAGCUUCCCAAGCUACUGAUGUGGGUUCGAUUCCCAUCGCCCGCU
This 75-nucleotide transfer RNA is filed under the name uncultured Caballeronia sp. RNAcentral describes it as "tRNA-Pseudo-CCC". It matches the Rfam family "tRNA". From Rfam's summary of the family: Transfer RNA (tRNA) molecules are approximately 80 nucleotides in length. Their secondary structure includes four short double-helical elements and three loops (D, anti-codon, and T loops). Lineage: Bacteria; Pseudomonadati; Pseudomonadota; Betaproteobacteria; Burkholderiales; Burkholderiaceae. The record is from RNAcentral.